CAGCCGCCGCGGUAAUACGUAGGGUGCAAGCGUUAAUCGGAAUUACUGGGCGUAAAGCGUGCGCAGGCGGUUUGUUAAGACAGAUGUGAAAUCCCCGGGCUUAACCUGGGAACUGCAUUUGUGACUGGCAAGCUAGAGUCUUGUAGAGGGGGGUAGAAUUCCAGGUGUAGCGGUGAAAUGCGUAGAGAUCUGGAGGAAUACCGGUGGCGAAGGCGGCCCCCUGGACAAAGACUGACGCUCAGGUGCGAAAGCGUGGGGAGCAAACAGGAUUAGAUACCCGGGUAGUCCCUGUCUCUUAUAA
RNAcentral lists this ribosomal RNA (301 nucleotides) under uncultured bacterium. Its description in RNAcentral is "partial 16S ribosomal RNA". It matches the Rfam family "Bacterial small subunit ribosomal RNA", at positions 509 to 809 of the family's 1533-position model. The record is from RNAcentral.